GAGGACAGAACGAUAGAGUUAGGAGUGCAGAAACGGUGGGGCUGACUCUGUUCGGUCUUGCGCGGCGCGCAUUAGUCAACCCGGAGCCACGGUCCUCGUAGGAACCGUUCUCGUCGUCGUUCUGUUUUAUGAACAUAAUCUCUCGUUGGUGUGUUGUUUUGUGUAUGAUAUAUUAUUAUGUGUGAAACAUACAUACCCAUAUUUUAUUUGUCAACGUAAAUAAUACCCCCUCCCUUCACGACCCACCCCCUUAUUCUCGUUACACGAACGGAAUAUAUUAUUCGGGGGUGUCUACUAUGAAAUUCUAAGUAAUUCGUCUUUUUUGAUUGGAAGAUUAAUUAAAGUGCGCGAGUGUGCGAAUUGUAAUAAACAUCUUCGACCUAAAGAGAGAGAGAGAGAGAGAUAGAAAGAAAUAGAGUUAACUAUACCAACAAUAAUAGAAUAAUAAUAAUAAGAAGAAGAAGAAGAAGAAUAAGAAGAAGAAAAGAGGAAAACAGAAGAUAAAAACAAGAAUCGUGUUGUAGCAGUGCGUGGAAGAAACCUAUGUGGAAAAAAUUGCGGUACGGGAGGAUUCGUGGCGCGAACGAUUCGACGAAUAGAAAAGUUUUCUUAUUCGGUGCCGCCUCGUGUUCGAAGAGUCGCGGAAGAGGAGAACACGGGGUCGUGGGGACCGUGUUCUCGUCGUUGUCGUUGUCAUCGUUGCUCGUGGUCCCCGUUUCCUUUUCGGUUCGCGUAUUAUAAUAAGUGCGUGCGUGCAUUAAAAUAAGAAGAAGAAGAAGAAGAAGAAGAAGAAAGAGGAAAAAACAAUUUUUAAUACGGAUCAUCUGGUGAUAUCCUAAAAGAUUCUAUUCGUUUUAUUCGCGUAUACGAUAUAAUAUUAAAAUAACAAUAAUAAUAAUAAUAAUAACGAAAACAGGGUGUGCAACAACGACCAGUGCAUUCGACGAUAAGAAAAGCCUUUAUUAUUCUAACUACUGUUACAACUAUACGAUUCAACUACUGUGAUAUAAAUAUAUAUAUAAAUAGGUGUAUAUAUAUAUAUAUCUACAUAUACACGCAAGACACUCUCCAAUGAAAACGAGAGAAAGAGAAAGAGAGAGAGAGAGAGAGAGACGAGAAAUCGAUCCUCCAAACUCGUCCCGUUUCAAUUUCUCUUCUUCUCUUGGCACUUCGCGGUGACUCAUUUCGGGGAAAGUAAGACGAAGCACGCCUCGGAAAGGAGAGUUUCUGGUAGGUUUCUUAAAAA
Molecule: long non-coding RNA, 1246 nt
Filed under: Polistes fuscatus (common paper wasp)
Lineage: Eukaryota; Metazoa; Arthropoda; Insecta; Hymenoptera; Vespidae
Description: uncharacterized LOC122515788, transcript variant X1
Source: RNAcentral